Pedobacter kyungheensis is the source of this 368-nucleotide non-coding RNA. NCBI's taxonomy places the organism in Bacteria, Pseudomonadati, Bacteroidota, Sphingobacteriia, Sphingobacteriales, Sphingobacteriaceae. The record is from Rfam.
GGGGCCGUUCUUGGAUUUGACAGGGUGGCGAAGGUUAUGUUAGCAUGCAGUGCGUUGUUCGGAGAGCACUUAAAGUGAACGAUCACAUUUUAAUUGGCGAAAAUACUUACGCCUUAGCUGCCUAGUUUAGAACUACGCUUAGCUUUUGUCCCUCUAACUGCUGCAUUGUUGGGUUAGAACCUGGGGCAUCGAAACAACAAAGCUGGCUUUAAGGAGAUACGACUUAAAGUGAGAUCAAGUAUCUAAGGAUCUAAAUAAGGUCGGUUUUCAGCCCGUUUAUUUCCCGAAAAUCAAUUGAAAAAUAAGCAUGUAGAAGGUAUAAUUUAUCUCACAACUGGACAAGGGUUCGACUCCCUUCGGCUCCACAA